CAUCAAAUAAUUAAAAGAACAAGUAUGACAUUGCAUUUCUAUUGAAAUAAGAUGCAACAAACAUUGACAUGGGUAUCCUCUAAAACUGGGUUGGGGAACUUCCGGCCUCCGGCCCGUGUACGGCCUAUGAGACCAUCUGAUCCGUCCAGACACGCUGUUCUAAAAAUAAAUAUAUAAACUCGGGGGGAAAAAUGUCGACAGCAGUGACUUUUCUGGGAUAAUACUGAGGGCUAUACAUGUCCGAGUCAGGUUCAGGGUCAGUGAACACAACACGUGAGGUUACGUGCCAUCGCGCGAUAACAUUGGGGUUUGAUUGACAAGUGAUAUGCAUCAUGGCGAGUGCCAAGACCAGGAAGGUGGAUGCUGAAUGCCGCUUUUUUUUCAGGAGAAAUGGACAAACGACUAUUUUUUGACUAAGUAAAAGGCAGUUUGUGGCGUGGGGCGUGCAGAGACGAAAAAGGCCAAUCUCGAGCGUCGUUACAGCGGGAAACCUGCUAAACUGGAGGAGUUGAGGACAAAUGCGUUUUGAUAAAAUUAACGCUCUUUGUGGGAGUUGGGUUUCCCAACAUUCAGCUGUCAGAAGACCACAGACCGACAGAGACAAUGUUAGGAGGACAAGUUUUGUGUUCAAUGUUCUGCUGGUAAACUUUGGGUCCUACCAUUCCUGUAGAUGUCAACUGACACGCACCACCCACCCAAAUACUGUUGCGGACCAAGUUCACGCCAUCAUGGAAUCUCCCCGAGACUCCAGCCAACAAACAACUGCCGCACAUGAUCAGGCCCAGCACCACUCCC
Molecule: non-coding RNA, 795 nt
Organism: Plectropomus leopardus (leopard coralgrouper)
Lineage: Eukaryota; Metazoa; Chordata; Actinopteri; Perciformes; Serranidae
Source: RefSeq, a predicted model, not a curated record